GGAAGCAGACUAAAAAUAAUGGAUAGUUCUUGCUUCCGUGGAACUUACAUCCUACCGGAGGCGGGGGUAGAAAACAAACAGGCAAAUAGAUACCAGGCCUUGUCGUGUCCCUAAGAGUGAAACAGCAGGGCCGGGGGAUAGAGCGUGCCGUGCAGCAGCGGAGGUCUUGUUCUAAUAUCGUGGUCCAGAGGGUUUCUCUCAGAUGAGGCAGCAUUUCAGCAGAGACCUGAGUGAAGUAAAUGAAUGGGUCUUGUAGGAUGAUAAUGAGAAUGCUUGCGCAGACCCUUUCUUCUUGGAGGUCUGCAGGAGAUGCUGGGAAGGAAGCGUUCUCUCAUUCCUUUUAUUCCAGAGGGAUUGAAUGUAGGGAAUUUGGACACGGCUUAGCAGGCUGGAGGAUCUGAGACGUCAUUGCUGCUUUCAGCCUCUCAAGCAUCAGUAGAGCUGUCUUGUCUGGGACAAGACUUAGAGCUGAAGCUGACUUAAAUGCCCUGGUCCCAUCUCAGCCAUCACAGAGAAUAGGGUCAGUGUAGGCACUGAAUAAAUUUUUUUAUUGAAUGACUCUUAUAUACAAUCUCUUCCAUUUUCUAUCCAGCUGUUUAGCCAAGAACUUGCAGGUGUAUAGGCAUUUAUGUUAAGUAAGUUUCUCUCCUUGUUAAAUACAUGUUUUUAUUUUGUUUAUCUUGUCUUCUCUGGUGUAUUGACCUUUGGAUUGUCCCUGACUGAGCUUUGAAUGUCCCGUCGCACGACUCCCAAAUUCCCCAGCAAGAAAACCAUCCUCUAUGAUUCUUCGAGAAAGAGACUAGGUAUCUUCAGAAGCAAUCCUUGUCCCAGAGAAGAAGGCAGAACCAAUGGGAGCAAAACUGAGAAGGAAAGGACGGGAAGCCCAAGUCUGGGCACAAAGAACGCCGGACUGGGGAAGAUUAACUGAAGCCUCCCUGGGCCGCUGAGAUCCUGUGAGUUAUGAUGUCAGUGAGCAGCUUGAGACUCCUGGGUUCUAACGAAUGGAGAUGGGAGCAAG
Molecule: long non-coding RNA, 1018 nt
Filed under: Cervus hanglu yarkandensis (Yarkand deer)
Lineage: Eukaryota; Metazoa; Chordata; Mammalia; Artiodactyla; Cervidae
Description: lncRNA (ENSCHYG00000013055.1)
Source: RNAcentral